Long non-coding RNA from Oncorhynchus keta (chum salmon), 931 nucleotides. RefSeq lists it as uncharacterized. The record is from RefSeq and is a predicted model, not a curated record. The transcript has 4 exons. Lineage: Eukaryota; Metazoa; Chordata; Actinopteri; Salmoniformes; Salmonidae.
AAUAAAGUAGCGUCGACUUUUCUACGUCCCUCUCUCGGAUCGGACUGGUCCGACCAGGUCUAUACGGAACGGAUCUAGCUGUCCUCGGAUCGGACUGGUCCGACCAGGUCUAUACGGAACGGAUCUAGCUGUCCUCGGAUCGGACUGGUCCGACCAGGUCUAUACGGAACGGAUCUAGCUGUCCUCGGAUCGGACUGGUCCGACCAGGUCUAUACGGAACGGAUCUAGCUGUCCUCGGAUCGGACUGGUCCGACCAGGUCUAUACGGAACGGAUCUAGCUGUCCUCGGAUCGGACUGGUCCGACCAGGUCUAUACGGAACGGAUCUAGCUGUCCUCGGAUCGGACUGGUCCGACCAGGUCUAUACGGAACGGAUCUAGCUGUCCUCGGAUCGGACUGGUCCGACCAGGUCUAUACGGAACGGAUCUAGCUGUCCUCGGAUCGGACUGGUCCGACCAGGUCUAUACGGAACGGAUCUAGCUGUCCUCGGAUCGGACUGGUCCGACCAGGUCUAUACGGAACGGAUCUAGCUGUCCUCGGAUCGGACUGGUCCGACCAGGUCUAUACGGAACGGAUCUAGCUGUCCUCGGAUCGGACUGGUCCGACCAGGUCUAUACGGAACGGAUCUAGCUGUCCUCGGAUCGGACUGGUCCGACCAGGUCUAUACGGAACGGAUCUAGCUGUCCUCGGAUCGGACUGGUCCGACCAGGUCUAUACGGAACGGAUCUAGCUGUCCUCGGAUCGGACUGGUCCGACCAGGUCUAUACGGAACGGAUCUAGCUGUCCUCGGGUCUGUCCGACCAGGUCUAUACGGAACGGAUCUAGCUGUCGUCGGGUCUGUUCGGAACAGGUCUGUAUAUAUCUUCUUUAUUUUUUAUGUAUUCAUGCAUAUCAGGUACGGGUGGGGAAAGCCCCAGGUCCACGUUGGAACAA